CCAGUGCUCUGAUUUUUUUUUUUUCACUCUAUUAACUGGCCUGGGAUGAAAUAAUCAUCUAUGAAGUUAGAAAAUUAGAUUUCAGACUGCCUUAAUGAAUGAGGAUCCCAUCUCUAUUUAUACCAUACUGCAUAUAAGUGACGACCAGGUACUACUUAACGACUAAUGCUAGAGCUAUGGAAGUAAAUUCCAGGUUAUAGGCAUGGACCGACAAACAAUAUAAAGCUACAGUAUAUGGGUAAAUAUCUUUAAGUAAGAGACUUAAUUGUAUAUACAUAUAUGUGUUAUGAGAUUUAUAUUUCAUAUGCAAAUAUCUAUUUAUAUUAGAGUGUAAACGAAGGAUUCCACAAAUAUUAACUCUAUUGGAAAGAGAGAGAGAGGGAGAGGGAACCUAUAAGAACUCAGUUUGGUUUCUUGAUGCUAACACCCAUAAUUGUGAACCUACAACUUCUUACAUGCAUUGCUUCCACGACAGAUUUGGAUUCUGCAAAACUAGUAUCCUUCACCCCCUAUAUAGUUUAAAGAAUAGGGCCAUGUUUGUAUUGGCUUGACAGUUUUGUUUUAUUUUUCUUGCUAACUGGUAAAUAAAAAAAAAAUAAUUGUCUUCCCUUCACACAUGGUUAACAAUGUUACCUACCAGAGAGAAUGAUGCCAAAUGUAACUGUGAAAAUAGAACAAUUUUAAAGGAUGUGAUGAUUAAGUAAGCUAAUGACUCUUUGUAUUCUCCAAUCAUUUGCAUUGCAUGUGUGCUGGGUUAUAUGGAUGGAUGGAGAGCUGCUCUGGAUGUUUCUUACCAGUGCUUUGCAAUAUAGCAAAAUGGGAUGCUUCCAUUUGACAAGUUUAAGAAAAA
This is a long non-coding RNA of Felis catus (domestic cat), 850 nucleotides long. RefSeq lists it as uncharacterized. The record is from RefSeq and is a predicted model, not a curated record. The transcript has 3 exons. Lineage: Eukaryota; Metazoa; Chordata; Mammalia; Carnivora; Felidae.